Pongo abelii (Sumatran orangutan) is the source of this 156-nucleotide unclassified non-coding RNA. It matches the Rfam family "Metazoan signal recognition particle RNA". From Rfam's summary of the family: The signal recognition particle (SRP) is a universally conserved ribonucleoprotein. Lineage: Eukaryota; Metazoa; Chordata; Mammalia; Primates; Hominidae. The record is from Ensembl.
GCUGGGUGUGGUGGUGCAUGCCUGUAGUCCCAGCUACUUGGGAGGCUGAGGCAGGAGGAUCCCUUGAGACCAGGAGUUCAAGGUUGCAGUUAGCUGCUAACUGCAGAUUGUACCACUGCACUCCAGCCUGGGCAACAAAGUGAGAUCCUAUCUCAA